GUGGGUAUAGCUCAGUGGUAAAGUGCAUGCCACACAUGCAUGAGGUCCUGUGUUCAAUCCGAGGUACCUCCA
RNAcentral lists this transfer RNA (72 nucleotides) under Camelus bactrianus (Bactrian camel). It matches the Rfam family "tRNA". Rfam says of the family: Transfer RNA (tRNA) molecules are approximately 80 nucleotides in length. Their secondary structure includes four short double-helical elements and three loops (D, anti-codon, and T loops). Further hydrogen bonds mediate the characteristic L-shaped molecular structure. tRNAs have two regions of fundamental functional importance: the anti-codon, which is responsible for specific mRNA codon recognition, and the 3' end, to which the tRNAs corresponding amino acid is attached (by aminoacyl-tRNA synthetases). tRNAs cope with the degeneracy of the genetic code in two manners: having more than one tRNA (with a specific anti-codon) for a particular amino acid; and 'wobble' base-pairing, i.e. permitting non-standard base-pairing at the 3rd anti-codon position. Lineage: Eukaryota; Metazoa; Chordata; Mammalia; Artiodactyla; Camelidae. The record is from Rfam by way of RNAcentral. RNAcentral also lists the same sequence under 2 other names.